UACGGAGGGGGCUAGCGUUGUUCGGAAUUACUGGGCGUAAAGCGCACGUAGGCGGCUUUGUAAGUUAGAGGUGAAAGCCCAGGGCUUAACCCUGGAAUUGCCUUUAAGACUGCAUCGCUCGAAUUGUGGAGAGGUGAGUGGAAUUCCGAGUGUAGAGGUGAAGUUCGUAGAUAUUCGGAAGAACACCAGUGGCGAAGGCGACUCACUGGACACAUAUUGACGCUGAGGUGCGAAAGCGUGGGGAGCAAACAGG
RNAcentral lists this ribosomal RNA (253 nucleotides) under uncultured bacterium. RNAcentral describes it as "partial 16S ribosomal RNA". It matches the Rfam family "Bacterial small subunit ribosomal RNA", at positions 524 to 776 of the family's 1533-position model. The record is from RNAcentral.